GCUCGGGACACCACCAUGUCCAGCAGCCAGGGGGCCUGCAGGGGAGGAACAGGGAGGAUGUGGGACGUCCUUGUGACGGCUGAGGCACUGGGCGCACAAGGAGCCCAAGGCAGGGAGGGCUGAUGGCACCGCAGCACUUGCACGGCGCGAGCAGCUGGCCAGGUGCUGGUGGUAGAAAGCUACAGCUCACCUUGAGAAGAGCUUUCCUGAACUUCUCUUUCCCUGACAGCUUCUCAAGGAAGUCGUAAUAGAAUUUCAUGUGGAAGGUCAUUCCAUCGAUGUGGAGCACUCCAAUGUCCUUGAAGACAACGGCAACGUUCUCCCCAUUCUUCAGGCAGCCAGAGAGCAGGGACACGGUGCUUUGGAUGCAAGCCUGCGCUGUCUGCCAGGUCACAGAGGCAGCUGCGGCCACCUCGCUGCUCUUGAGCGGCUCCAGCUUCCUAUGGGCUGAAAAAUGGGAGGGACGGAGUUGAUGAUACGGUUGGUUUUCCGCAGUGCUUCCCUGGAACUGCUUCUUGUGGCCAUCAGCCAGAACGGCCCCAUGUUUGGCUGGGCUCCUCCGAGGGGGAGGUUUGCUUUGGAGAAUGGAGGCGGUGGCCCUGUUGGCCCUGUGCGUGAAGCCAGCAAAGCUUUAAUCCUCCCUCCUACCUGGCAGGGACUCCCUGCGGGGCUUGAGGUGGUGCACGGCUAUGAGGUUUCCAGACAAGUGAAAGACGGGCCACCGCAGAGUCACGGUCCCGUCCUCAGUCCUGAUGUCUCUGGAGAUGGUGUCAAAGGAUCCGAAGGUGGGAAUCCAGACCCCCUACAAGUGGUAGAGAAAGGAAGGGCGGCAGGGUUAUGGGCCGGCUGGCUGGAGGAAGAGCCCAUGUAGCGGUCCAAGGCAGGGACGGAGCUCAGGAGCCCUCUCUCGCUGUUCAGAGGCACAAGCCAGGGCAUCGGGAAUGGCUUUGGGAAGGGGCUGCACAGUCCUCUCCUUCCCCUCACCCUCCCAAAUGCAGCACAGCAGUCAGGGCAGAAGCAGCCUGAUGGGAUCCAGAGGCUUCCCGCGAGCGGGAUCAGCCCUGAGACAGGACAGCGCCCAGCACAAGUGAUCCUGCGGGAUUUGCAGGAAGCCCAUGGCAUGCCCAGUAGAGACACGUGGGGUGAGUUUCCUGCUUUCUGUGGAGGGGAAGAGUGGGAGGAAGUCUUGGCUGAGGCAGACAGGGAGAGGAGGAACCCGGCAUCCAACCCACCUUCUGCACCAGGAGGUGCUCUUGUACGUAGGCGGCCACCGCAUCCCAGACGGCAACUCGCUCUGGAGGGCAAAGGAAAAGCGGGUCACACUCUGCACCUGCCGCUUCCCGGCAGCCCUCCCGCUGCCAGGCGGGAGUGAGGUGGCAGAUGGAAAGUGUCGUCUGCGUGCCAAGAUUGGCUGCAGCAGCGCUCCUGUGGUGGCUGUGGAGCCGUGUACCUUCGGUGUCGGUGCAGGUGGGUAUGGAGGCACGCCUCACUGCGGGGCCAUCCUCGCAGAAGCUCAUCCUGUUCCGCCUCGUGCCAGCGGGUUGCUCCUUGUUGGCGCCAGCCAUGCCGGAGCUCAUCCCUUCAGGUGCGUCUGCUCUCUACCAGAUGCUCCUUCAGGAUGCAGGACCCACCAGCGUGCACCGCCUUCAUACCC
Long non-coding RNA from Gallus gallus (chicken), 1654 nucleotides. The record is from Ensembl. NCBI's taxonomy places the organism in Eukaryota, Metazoa, Chordata, Aves, Galliformes, Phasianidae.